Molecule: long non-coding RNA, 1535 nt
Organism: Micropterus salmoides (largemouth bass)
Lineage: Eukaryota; Metazoa; Chordata; Actinopteri; Centrarchiformes; Centrarchidae
Exons: 4
Source: RefSeq, a predicted model, not a curated record
GUUCCCCCUCCUCUUCCUCAACCACCCUUCCUCCUGGUUACUCCUCUCCUCCUCUCCCCUUGUUGUGGUCUACUGUUCUAUCUUUCUGUGUUCUGGUUGUACUGGUUCUUCUGGUUCUACUGGUGAGACGAUGCCUCCACAGGAAACCUAAAGAGAGUGAUCCAGCUGCAGUCUACUCAACAGUGAGAGGAACAGGAGACGUCAGUUAUGGACAAAUAGUCAUCAAAGACAUCAAAUCAAACAGGACGAGAGAGAGUGAUCCAGCUGCAGUCUACUCAGCAGUGAGAGGAACAGGAGACGUCAGUUAUGGACAAAUAGCCGUGAGACCACAAAGGACGAGAGAGUUUCCAGCAGAGCCAGAGGUCGUCUACUCUUCACUGAGGUAGACCUUCACACCUUCACACCAGUCCAACCACUGAUGUCCAGCUGGCCUGGAACUGGUCCCCAGAGCCCCUCACACCUCAGCACAUCCACUUAUUAUGUUUCACUGUUAAAGCUACAAAGAGACAAACAGGUCAGAUUUAGUGAAUGAUUCAAACAUUUGUGUUUUUCACUGAAAUAUCAGUGAUGAACAAAAGAUAAAAUAAAUUGUUAAAAUACUUAUUUUAAAGGUGGCGAUUGUUGUGAAUUGCAACUGGUAACUGUGUAUUCAAGUGCUCCUCAGAUGUCCCCUUUUCUAUUAAUUCUUAUGGCAGAAUUCCACUUAUGGCCGGCUACUUGAAAUAGAUAGCUAUACCGCGACAUGCAUGCAGUUGCCGGAAUCACGGCAUGCAAGCAAAACUGUGGACAAGACCUGUAAAUCCUUAGUCGGGGACAGCCCAACUACAUUCCAGCUAUCGUUGUGCUUUACUAUAAAACAAGUUAGCACAGCCCUGAUCGAGCUGAACUCCAUUUAGAAAACAAGCAUUUGUUUGCAAGUAGUUUGCUUGGCAUCUUGUGAGAAGACCUGAUGAAGCAUGAAUUCAUAUGUUUUACUUUUUUUCCCGAUUAUGCCGACACCACAUGAACGCACCAUCAGUCAGCGCUCACCCCUCUCUUUCCAAGCUCACAGGAGAAGCUUCGGUGGUCGAAACGCUCUGUUGGCUUGUGUUAAAUAUUAUGUGUGGUCGUCUAUUUGUCCAAAUUUCUCUUCUCUUCUUACUUCUAAUAAACCAGACGACGACUACUGUUAAUCCAACUUACUUCUUCUUCUUCUUCAGCAUAGAGACGAAACACACUGUAGAGCAGUUUGUCUGUUUUGGGCGACUGUAGAAACAUGGCGGUGCAACAUGGUGACUUACAUGUAAGAGGACCUGCGGUGUAGGUAGAUAGAAAUGUUUCAUUCUAAGGUAAUAAAAACAUAGCGGUUUAUUAUGUAAGGUCUUUAUACACCCCUGAAAACAUAGUUAUGGAAAUUCUAUUAUAUUUCUGUCAAUAGAUCCUCAGAAAUUUUACAUACUGAAGGUUUAAAGCCCUGUAAGUGUUUCAGAACCAACAUGUUUCAUUAUAAUUUCAUUCAUAUAAUUAUAUUAAACAGAAUCUAUUGAUAACUUUAA